AUUGAACGCUGGCGGCAGGCCUAACACAUGCAAGUCGAACGGUAGCACAGAGAGCUUGCUCUCGGGUGACGAGUGGCGGACGGGUGAGUAACGUCUGGGAAACUGCCCGAUGGAGGGGGAUAACUACCGGAAACGGUAGCUAAUACCGCAUAACGUCGCAAGACCAAAGUGGGGGACCUUCGGGCCUCACACCAUCGGAUGUGCCCAGAUGGGAUUAGCUAGUAGGUGGGGUAAUGGCUCACCUAGGCGACGAUCCCUAGCUGGUCUGAGAGGAUGACCAGCCACACUGGAACUGAGACACGGUCCAGACUCCUACGGGAGGCAGCAGUGGGGAAUAUUGCACAAUGGGCGCAAGCCUGAUGCAGCCACGCCGCGUGUAUGAAGAAGGCCUUCGGGUUGUAAAGUACUUUCAGCGGAGAGGAAGGCGGUGGAGUUAAUAACUUCACCGAUUGACGUUACCCGCAGAAGAAGCACCGGCUAACUCCGUGCCAGCCGCCGCAGUAA
RNAcentral lists this ribosomal RNA (504 nucleotides) under uncultured bacterium. RNAcentral's name for it is "partial 16S ribosomal RNA". It matches the Rfam family "Bacterial small subunit ribosomal RNA", at positions 29 to 523 of the family's 1533-position model. The record is from RNAcentral.